This 446-nucleotide ribosomal RNA is filed under the name uncultured bacterium. RNAcentral describes it as "partial 16S ribosomal RNA". It matches the Rfam family "Bacterial small subunit ribosomal RNA", at positions 338 to 795 of the family's 1533-position model. The record is from RNAcentral.
CCUACGGGAGGCAGCAGUAGGGAAUUUUCGGCAAUGGGGGGAACCCUGACCGAGCAACGCCGCGUGAACGAAGAAGUUCUUCGUAAUGUAAAGUUCUUUUAACAGGGAAGAAAGAGAAAUUUGACGGUACCUGAUGAAUAAGCUCCGGCUAACUACGUGCCAUCAGCCGCGGUAAUACGUAGGGAGCGAGCGUUAUCCGGAAUUAUUGGGCGAAAAGGGUGCGUAGAUGGCAUAGUAAGUCUUUUUUAAAAAUGCUGGGCUCAACCCAGUAGGGCAAAAGAUACUGGAAAGCUAGAGUAUGACAGAGGCAGGUGGAACUAGAGGUGUAGCGGUAAAAUGCGUAAAUAUAUGUAAGAACACCAGUGGCGAAGGCGGCUUGCUGGGUCGAUACUGACAUUGAGGCACGAAAGCGUGGGGAGCAAACAGGAUUAGAUACCCUUGUAGUC